Molecule: ribosomal RNA, 485 nt
Filed under: uncultured bacterium
Lineage: Bacteria
Description: partial 16S ribosomal RNA
Rfam family: Bacterial small subunit ribosomal RNA
Source: RNAcentral
AUUGAACGCUGGCGGCAUGCCUUACACAUGCAAGUCGAACGGCAGCACGGGUGCUUGCACCUGGUGGCGAGUGGCGAACGGGUGAGUAAUACAUCGGACAUGUCCUGUAGUGGGGGAUAGCCCGGCGAAAGCCGGAUUAAUACCGCAUACGAUCCACGGAUGAAAGCGGGGGACCUUCGGGCCUCGCGCUAUAGGGUUGGCCGAUGGCUGAUUAGCUAGUUGGUGGGGUAAAGGCCUACCAAGGCGACGAUCAGUAGCUGGUCUGAGAGGACGACCAGCCACACUGGGGCUGAGACACGGCCCAGACUCCUACGGGAGGCAGCAGUGGGGAAUUUUGGACAAUGGGCGAAAGCCUGAUCCAGCAAUGCCGCGUGUGUGAAGAAGGACUUCGGGUUGUAAAGCACUUUUGUCCGGAAAGAAAUCCUUGACUCUAAUACAGUCGGGGGAUGACGGUACCGGAAGAAUAAGCACCGGCUAACUACGUG